AUCCAUGUGACGAGCCCCAAAUAGGACGAAACGCGCUUUCUGGAU
Non-coding RNA from Schistosoma mansoni, 45 nucleotides. Lineage: Eukaryota; Metazoa; Platyhelminthes; Trematoda; Strigeidida; Schistosomatidae. The record is from Rfam.